GUUCAUAUAACUUAAGUUUAGAGUAUAGUAUUGAAGCUACUAAUGUAAUAUAUUUAUAUAUUUAUGGACA
RNAcentral lists this transfer RNA (70 nucleotides) under Ammothea hilgendorfi. Its description in RNAcentral is "tRNA-Phe". Lineage: Eukaryota; Metazoa; Arthropoda; Pycnogonida; Pantopoda; Ammotheidae. The record is from RNAcentral.